Molecule: ribosomal RNA, 497 nt
Filed under: uncultured bacterium
Lineage: Bacteria
Description: partial 16S ribosomal RNA
Rfam family: Bacterial small subunit ribosomal RNA
Source: RNAcentral
GAUGAACGCUGGCGGCGUGCCUAAUACAUGCAAGUCGAGCGAACAGAUGAGGAGCUUGCUCCUCUGACGUUAGCGGCGGACGGGUUAGUAACACGUGGAUAACCUACCUAUAAGACUGGGAUAACUUCGGGAAACCGGAGCUAAUACCGGAUAAUAUAUUGAACCGCAUUGUUCAAUAGUGAAAGACGGUUUUGCUGUCACUUAUAGAUGGAUCCGCGCCGCAUUAGCUAGUUGGUAAGGUAACGGCUUACCAAGGCAACGAUUCGUAGCCGACCUGAGAGGGUGAUCGGCCACACUGGAACUGAGACACGGUCCAGACUCCUACGGGAGGAAGCAGUAGGGAAUCUUCCGCAAUGGGCGAAAGCCUGACGGAGCAAAGCCGCGUGAGUGAUGAAGGUCUUCGGAUCGUAAAACUCUGUUAUUAGGGAAGAACAAAUGUGUAAGUAACUAUGCACGUCUUGACGGUACCUAAUCAGAAAGCCACGGCUAACUACGUG